AGCUUGCUGGGUGGAUUAGUGGCGAACGGGUGAGUAACACGUGAGCAACCUGCCCCGAUCUCUGGGAUAAGCGCUGGAAACGGCGUCUAAUACCGGAUAUGCACCAGAACGGCAUCGUUACUGGUGGGAAAGAUUUUUCGGUUCGGGAGGGGCUCGCGUCCUAUCAGCUUGUUGGUGAGGUAAUGGCUCACCAAGGCGUCGACGGGUAGCCGGCCUGAGAGGGUGACCGGCCACACUGGGACUGAGACACGGCCCAGACUCCUACGGGAGGCAGCAGUGGGGAAUAUUGCACAAUGGGCGCAAGCCUGAUGCAGCAACGCCGCGUGAGGGAUGACGGCCUUCGGGUUGUAAACCUCUUUUAGUAGGGAAGAAGCCUUCGGGUGACGGUACCUGCAGAAAAAGCACCGGCUAACUACGUGCCAGCAGCCGCGGUAAUACGUAGGGUGCAAGCGUUAUCCGGAAUUAUUGGGCGUAAAGAGCUCGUAGGCGGUUUGUCGCGUCUGCUGUGAAAACUGGAGGCUCAACCUCCAGCUUGCAGUGGGUACGGGCAGACUAGAGUGCGGUAGGGGAGAUUGGAAUUCCUGGUGUAGCGGUGGAAUGCGCAGAUAUCAGGAGGAACACCGAUGGCGAAGGCAGAUCUCUGGGCCGUAACUGACGCUGAGGAGCGAAAGAGUGGGGAGCAAACAGGCUUAGAUA
This 696-nucleotide ribosomal RNA is filed under the name Microbacterium sp. CUA-889. Its description in RNAcentral is "bacterial SSU rRNA". It matches the Rfam family "Bacterial small subunit ribosomal RNA", at positions 77 to 784 of the family's 1533-position model. Lineage: Bacteria; Bacillati; Actinomycetota; Actinomycetes; Micrococcales; Microbacteriaceae. The record is from RNAcentral.